RNAcentral lists this small RNA (103 nucleotides) under Arabidopsis thaliana (thale cress). RNAcentral describes it as "ATSL241550". The record is from RNAcentral. Lineage: Eukaryota; Viridiplantae; Streptophyta; Magnoliopsida; Brassicales; Brassicaceae.
GAGCUAGCUAGCCACUUGUUUCUCUCUCUAGUUUUUCAUUUUUUUUUUGUACUUUUUAAAAAAGUCUCUCUCUCUCUCUCUCUCUCUCUCUCUCUCUAAUGGA